CCACGGAAGUUUUCAGAGAUGAGAAUGUGCCUUCGGGAACCGUGAGACAGGUGCUGCAUGGCUGUCGUCAGCUCGUGUUGUGAAAUGUUGGGUUAAGUCCCGCAACGAGCGCAACCCUUAUCCUUUGAGCGUGUUCGCAAAGAAGAGCAAGUGAUCGGGAUUUUUCAUCCGGACUAGCGAUAUGCCGCAGGUUUUUUUAAGCUAAGGGGUACACGGCUGCAGAAUUCCGCUACAAUCUGCGCCACUAUUCUUCCCAUG
Molecule: ribosomal RNA, 258 nt
Filed under: Salmonella enterica subsp. enterica serovar Anatum
Lineage: Bacteria; Pseudomonadati; Pseudomonadota; Gammaproteobacteria; Enterobacterales; Enterobacteriaceae
Description: partial 16S ribosomal RNA
Rfam family: Bacterial small subunit ribosomal RNA
Source: RNAcentral